CCUACGGGUGGCUGCAGUGGGGAAUAUUGGACAAUGGGCGAAAGCCUGAUCCAGCCAUGCCGCGUGUGUGAAGAAGGCCUUCGGGUUGUAAAGCACUUUCAGUGGGGAAGAAAGCCUUGGGGCUAAUACCCUCGAGGAAGGACAUCACCCACAGAAGAAGCACCGGCUAACUCCGUGCAAGCAGCCGCGGUAAUACGGAGGGUGCGAGCGUUAAUCGGAAUUACUGGGCGUAAAGCGCGCGUAGGCGGUCUGAUAAGCCGGUUGUGAAAGCCCCGGGCUCAACCUGGGAACGGCAUCCGGAACUGUCAGGCUAGAGUGCAGGAGAGGAAAGUAGAAUUCCCGGUGUAGCGGUGAAAUGCGUAGAGAUCGGGAGGAAUACCAGUGGCGAAGGCGGCCUUCUGGACUGACACUGACGCUGAGGUGCGAAAGCGUGGGUAGCAAACAGGAUUAGAUACCCUAGUAGUC
Molecule: ribosomal RNA, 465 nt
Filed under: Vreelandella stevensii
Lineage: Bacteria; Pseudomonadati; Pseudomonadota; Gammaproteobacteria; Oceanospirillales; Halomonadaceae
Description: partial 16S ribosomal RNA
Rfam family: Bacterial small subunit ribosomal RNA
Source: RNAcentral